GCAAAUGAGUGGAUAGCUCAGUUGGUUAGAGCAUGGUUCUGAUAACGGCAAGGUUCAAACCAUAUAUGGUUUGAACCUCAUAUUCCUGCA
This is a non-coding RNA of Podarcis lilfordi (Lilford's wall lizard), 90 nucleotides long. The record is from the annotation of a GenBank genome assembly. NCBI's taxonomy places the organism in Eukaryota, Metazoa, Chordata, Lepidosauria, Squamata, Lacertidae.